This 1268-nucleotide ribosomal RNA is filed under the name Clostridioides difficile. Its description in RNAcentral is "bacterial LSU rRNA". It matches the Rfam family "Bacterial large subunit ribosomal RNA", at positions 786 to 2072 of the family's 2925-position model. Lineage: Bacteria; Bacillati; Bacillota; Clostridia; Peptostreptococcales; Peptostreptococcaceae. The record is from RNAcentral.
GCGUUGAAAAGCUCGGGGAUGACUUGUGGGUAGCGGUGAAAUUCCAAUCGAGCCCGGAGAUAGCUGGUUCUCCCCGAAAUAGCUUUAGGGCUAGCCUCAAGGUGAGAGAUACGGAGGUAGAGCACUGAAUGUCCUAGGGGGUAUUGCACCUACCGAAGACUAUCAAACUCCGAAUGCCGUCAUCUUAUACUUGGGAGUCAGACUGUGGGUGAUAAGAUUCAUAGUCGAAAGGGCAACAGCCCAGAUCGUCAGCUAAGGUCCCUAAAUGUAAGUUAAGUGGUAAAGGAUGUGGGAUUGCACAGACAACCAGGAUGUUGGCUUAGAAGCAGCCACUCAUUCAAAGAGUGCGUAAUAGCUCACUGGUCGAGUGAUCCUGCGCCGAAGAUUUCCGGGGCUAAAACUUACUACCGAAGCUACGGCAUCAGUAAUGAUGGGUAGGGGAGCUUCCCAUACGGGUUGAAGCAUGACCGUAAGGACAUGUGGACAGUAUGGGAGUGAGAAUGUUGGCAUGAGUAGCGAGAUGUGGGUGAGAAUCCCACAGGCCGUAAACCCAAGGUUUCCAGGGGAAGGUUCGUCCGCCCUGGGUUAGUCGGGACCUAAGCUGAGGCCGAAAGGCGUAGGUGAUGGACAACAGGUUGAUAUUCCUGUACUACCGAUAACCGUUUGAGAGAAGGGAUGACACAGUAGGAUAAGCUAAGCACACUGUUGGUUAUGUGUGCCCAAGCAUUGAGGCAGUCAAAGUAGGCAAAUCCGCUUUGAUAAUGCUGGGAUGUGAUGGGGAGCGAAAUUUAGUAGCGAAGUAGCUGAUUUCACACUGUCAAGAAAAGUCUCUAUCGAGGUUAAAGGUACCCGUACCGCAAACCGACACAGGUGGGUGAGGAGAGUAUCCUAAGGCCAGCGAGAGAACUGUUGUUAAGGAACUCGGCAAAAUGACCCCGUAACUUAGGGAUAAGGGGUGCCACCAUCAGGUGGCCGCAGAGAAUAGGCCCAAGCGACUGUUUACCAAAAACAUAGGUUUCUGCUAAGUCGCAAGACGAUGUAUAGGAGCUGACGCCUGCCCGGUGCUGGAAGGUUAAGGGGAUCUGUUAGAGCAAUCGAAGCAGUGAACUUAAGCCCCAGUAAACGGCGGCCGUAACUAUAACGGUCCUAAGGUAGCGAAAUUCCUUGUCGGGUAAGUUCCGACCCGCACGAAAGGCGUAACGAUUUGGGCACUGUCUCAACAACAGACUCGGUGAAAUUGUAAUUCCGGUGAAGAUGCCGGAUACCUG